This 442-nucleotide ribosomal RNA is filed under the name uncultured bacterium. RNAcentral describes it as "partial 16S ribosomal RNA". It matches the Rfam family "Bacterial small subunit ribosomal RNA", at positions 338 to 795 of the family's 1533-position model. The record is from RNAcentral.
CCUACGGGGGGCAGCAGUGGGGGAUAUUGCACAAUGGGGGAAACCCUGAUGCAGCGACGCCGCGUGGGCGAAGAAGUAUUUCGGUAUGUAAAGCCCUAUCAGCAGGGAAGAAGAAAUGACGGUACCUGCGUAAGAAGCACCGGCUAAAUACGUGCCAGCAGCCGCGGUAAUACGUAUGGUGCAAGCGUUAUCCGGAUUUACUGGGUGUAAAGGGAGCGCAGGCGGCACGGCAAGCCUGAUGUGAAAGCCCGGGGCUCAACCGCGGGACUGCAUUGGGAACUACCGGGCUGGAGUGUCGGAGAGGGAGGCAGAAUUCCUGGUGUAGCGGUGAAAUGCGUAGAGAUCAGGAGGAACACCAGUGGCGAAGGCGGCCUACUGGACGGUGACUGACGCUGAGGCUCGAAAGCGUGGGGAGCAAACAGGAUUAGAUACCCUGGUAGUC